RNAcentral lists this long non-coding RNA (992 nucleotides) under Polistes fuscatus (common paper wasp). Its description in RNAcentral is "uncharacterized LOC122515499". Lineage: Eukaryota; Metazoa; Arthropoda; Insecta; Hymenoptera; Vespidae. The record is from RNAcentral.
UUUUCUUUUUAAAAUAUUAUAUAUACAAUAUAAUCACUCAGGUGGAGUACAGCUUACAUGUAAUAUAUACUUAACUGUGGCCAUCACACCAAAGUUUGGCGCUUCUACUGUCACGCUUCUGGCGGCGGAAUUGAAUACCAAAAAAAACCCUAUGUACCUGAAUAACCGUUGCUACUGGCUCUCUUCCUUCUCGACCAUAGAAAGAAACACACGCAGCGGCAGCAACGCGAACACGUGUUCCUCUCUUUGUCCAAAGAUUCUUGUUCAGUUUUGUGUAAGAUUUAUAUAAGUCAGUUUUUGUUACAUUUUUAAUAAAGAAAUAUUCAUAUAACAUUGUUCACCUCGUUAACUUAAUUAUUUGAAUAUAGUUGAACUCGCUAUAUAACACGAUUGUGGUACAAUACUAUCAAAGAACAGUACAAACUGUCAAAGAAUACAGUAUUCUUUGAUAAAUUGUUCUAAAUGUGAUAAUCUUCUACUACAAUAAAUAACAGUGAACCCAACAUGUUACACACCGGCAUCGAGUAAGUUUUAAUUUAUAGAAGUGCUCAGGGGACCUAAUGGAGAUUUUCUUGAAAACUCGCCUGGCAAUCAACAUGCUGCUGUAUGGCAGAGUUAUCAGUUUUCGCCAUCAGAGGCGUGACGGUAAGAGUGCCGGUGGCGCCAAGCUUUGGCGUGACGGCCACACUUUAAAAGUCAUCAAAAAAGAAAGGUUAAUAUAUAUCUAUAAAAUAAAACUUAAAUUGUUUUUAUCACAUUUAUAUGAUAUAUACUAUAUGACUAUCAUAAAUUAAAGGAUAUCUGUUCUAACUGCUAUGAAAUUAGUUAAUUGCAACGAGUGAAAAAAAUACUAAUUAAGAAUAGAGCAUGAAAUAGUAUCUUAAUAACUAUAAUUUAUGUGUAUACUUUUAAAUAUAUCUGAUUGUUGUGUACAUUGAAUUUAUUUUGAUUAUUUUUUUUUCACUUAGAAUACAUUUGAAGUUUUGAAAGAA